Long non-coding RNA from Sebastes umbrosus (honeycomb rockfish), 415 nucleotides. RefSeq lists it as uncharacterized. NCBI's taxonomy places the organism in Eukaryota, Metazoa, Chordata, Actinopteri, Perciformes, Sebastidae. The transcript is spliced from 3 exons. The record is from RefSeq and is a predicted model, not a curated record.
UUCAGGUCCUCACGGCCCUCCGAGUCCCGACAGCCGCGCAGCGAACAGCGAGCCUCCGACAGAGGAUGGAGCAGAGAGUCGUCCUGGGUGGUGCUGAGGACGGAGGACAGAGAGAAGGGAGGUGGACCAUUUUUCCCGCCGCUUCAACAGACGAAUUCUUGUGUGUCUUCGCCGGGUGUUUUGUUAAGGCUGCUCCCUCCACCAUCAUCAUCAUCAUCAUCAUCAUCGCCACCACACAGGCAGCCUGAGGAAGAGGAGGAGAAAUUAACCUUCAGACACAGAUCUUUCAGACGCCACCGAGUCUUGUUCUUCAGGGUUCUCAGGCUCUGCUGGAGGUUCAGGUCAGAAGCUGUAAGCUGGAGGUCGCUGAUUGCUGUGUCCUCUGGUGUGCAGGUGCAGGUCCUGUUCUUCUUCG